ACUCCUACGGGAGGCAGCAGUAAGGAAUAUUGCGCAAUGGGCGAAAGCCUGACGCAGCGACGCCGCGUGGGGGAUGAAGGUCUUCGGAUUGUAAACCCCUUUCGGGAGGGAAGAUGGAGCGAGCAAUCGUUCGGACGGUACCUCCAGAAGCAGCCACGGCCAACUUCGUGCCAGCAGCCGCGGUAAUACGAAGGUGGCAAGCGUUGUUCGGAUUCACUGGGCGUACAGGGUGUGUAGGCGGUUUGGUAAGCCUUCUGUUAAAGCUUCGGGCCCANCCUUAAAGNGCGCAGAGGGUACUGCCAGGCUAGAGGGUGGGAGAGGAGCGCGGAAUUCCCG
Molecule: ribosomal RNA, 336 nt
Filed under: uncultured Nitrospira sp.
Lineage: Bacteria; Pseudomonadati; Nitrospirota; Nitrospiria; Nitrospirales; Nitrospiraceae
Description: bacterial SSU rRNA
Rfam family: Bacterial small subunit ribosomal RNA
Source: RNAcentral